Non-coding RNA from Paramuricea clavata, 446 nucleotides. The record is from the annotation of a GenBank genome assembly. Lineage: Eukaryota; Metazoa; Cnidaria; Anthozoa; Malacalcyonacea; Plexauridae.
AAAUAUCACAUACUCGAACCGACCUGACCGCGUAGCUCAGUUGGCAGAGCAUUGGGCUAGUAUUCCAAAGGUCGUAGGUUCGAUUCCCACCGUGGGCAGGCAUAUUUUUCAAGCUUGCCCGGUGUGGAUCUACACUCGGAGUAACAUCGCAAGCAUCAUAUUCACCUGAGUACAUUAUACCAGCACAGAAAAAAUCAUGAUUACUAGAUUACAUUGAUAUCGAAGGAACUAGAUUCUGUUCCGAAAUAUCACAUACUCGAACCGACCUGACCGCGUAGCUCAGUUGGCAGAGCAUUGCCAUUGGGCUAGUAUUUCAAAGGUCGUAGGUUCGAUUCCCACCGUGGACAGGCAUAUUUUUCAAGCUUGCCCGGUGUGGAUAUACACUCGGAGUAACAUCACAAGCAUCAUAUUCACCUGAGUACACUACACCAACACAGAAAAAAUCA